RNAcentral lists this long non-coding RNA (1502 nucleotides) under Anas platyrhynchos platyrhynchos (common mallard). RNAcentral's name for it is "lncRNA (ENSAPLG00000029996.1)". The record is from RNAcentral. Lineage: Eukaryota; Metazoa; Chordata; Aves; Anseriformes; Anatidae.
AUGCAGAGAUUUAAAGGCCACAGCAUGGUUAUAUUAAAUUGUGGUAUACCCAAAAUCAUGUUGGAAUUAACUUUAAUUUCUUUUUGUAACAUUGUAAAUCAGAUUACACUUCAUCUCAAAGAAUCCAGAACUCGUGAUUUACAAUUGAUUUUCUACAUUUUGAAUCUCUACACUAUGCAGCAGCUUGCCUUCUCUCCAGGAUCUAGAAAUGAGGGCUAAAGCCUUUUGGCUGAGGAAGACUUUUGGGGAAGACUUUUGGGUGUGCUGAAACCUGUCUGAUACCUUGCCUUCAAGCUUCCAGUUUCCCAGCAGUGUCCUUGCACAAUGUGAAGGCACUUGUCCUCAUUCAGGGCUGUGUACAUGCUAUAUCGAAAAACUUAACAUGUUAUGUAUGCAAAUGAAUCAAAACAUAUACAUUGAUGCACUGAAAUUUGGGAGUGUCAUCUUUCUCAGCACCUCGUAGACUGGCCUGGUUGAACAGAGCCCCAAAUCCUCGACUUUCCUAAGAGCAGGUGAUAUAUUAAGACAAGAGCAUAUUAUGCAGUAAGACAUUAACAAUGAAUCUGAAAAGGUAUUGUGAAUGUUAAAAUUGUACUGACUAAAAUAUACUGAGGUUAAAAUACAGGGUAACUUUACAAAUCACUAUUAAUUUCUUUGGCUUUCAUUGCAAUAACAUUGAUUUAAUUCAUUAGAAUCCUUUCUAAAUCUAUAUUUCAGUUUUAGAGUUGUCAGUUUCUGUUAAUGACAAUUUAGCCCAUCUGUUCUAACAUGAAAAUGAGGCUUCAUGCAGUAGACAUGAUAGAUCUCUAAUAGUUGAAGAAGUAAGAAUCUUAAAGGUAUUUCAUUUGGAUUGUAUCCACUUUGAUGCAAUUCACCCUUGAAAUCAAGCCUAGUACUAAAAACUUUUAACUGUGUAAUCAAAAAAACAAAAAUGUCAUAUCUUGUCAUUUAGGCCACUGUCUAUUUCAUAAUUUACAUCAAAAAUUUCAAAACAUUCCCACUCAUUCUCUCUCUAAUGACAGAGCCAUAAUUUUGGGUGUCAGCAUAUCAGAAUUCCACUGGAUGUGAUUAGAAUAAGAAUUAGUUUCUUUAAUUUGGCCAUUCAAACGGUAAUAUUACUACAGUAAGUCAUUCUACUGAACAAGCCAGUGCCGCCAAGCUAGGUUACAACUUAGGUUUCAAUACAGGUUUAAAACUUCAGUUCCUUGCACAGGUCAAUCUUCUGAAGGGGUAAUUUUUCAAAGCAGUGUGUGAGUCUUAAGCACACAAAUCCAGUUAGCAAAUAACAAGAUUAUGUUCUGUGCACUGCUUUGAAAAUUUAUCCCUAAUAUCCUAGAGAUAGGAGCACAGUUAUUGCACACAUUACAUAUGAGGUAUAAUUUAAAUUGUUUUUUAGUAAGCAGUUCCCUGCAUUUGUGUAAUGCAGUGCUAUUCUGGGGAAAAAUGCUCAGCUAAUUAUUCAGUCUAGAAAAAUAAACACAUCCAUUAAAGGCUAGGCUACA